Molecule: transfer RNA, 1056 nt
Filed under: Chloebia gouldiae (Gouldian finch)
Lineage: Eukaryota; Metazoa; Chordata; Aves; Passeriformes; Passeridae
Description: Erythrura gouldiae (Gouldian finch) lncRNA (ENSEGOG00005016234.1)
Source: RNAcentral
AUGGGAACAAACAUGGGAACAAAGCAGCUGGAAAAAUGGGAAUGGCUGGAAUUAGGAACAGCUGGAAAAUGGGAACUCAGGUUGAAACAGGAACUGGGAUGGAAACAGGAAUUGGGAUGGAAACUGGGAAUUAGGGUGGAAACAGGGAUUGGGAUGGAAGUGGGAAUUGGGAUGGAAACGGGGAUUGGGAUGGAAAUGGGAAUUCAGAUGGAAACCAGAAUUUGUGUGGAAACAGGAAUUGGGAUGGAAACAAGAAUUCAGGUGGAAACGGGAAUUGUGAUGGAAUCAGGAAUUUGGGUGGAAAAAGGAAUUCGGAUGGAAUCGGGAAUUCGGGUAGAAUCAGGAACUGGAAUGGAAACCAGAAUUAGGAUGGAAACGGGAAUUAGGAUGGAAACAGGGAUUGGGAUGGAAACUGGGAUUGGGAUGGAAAUGGGAAUUCGGGUGGAAACAGGGAUUGGGAUGGAAACAGGGACUGGGAUGGAAACAGGGAUUGGAAUGGAAUCAGGGAUUGGGAUGGAAUCAGGAAUUUGGGUGGAAACAGGAACUGGGAUGGAAUCAGGGAUUGGGAUGGAAACAGGAAUUGGGAUGGAAAUGGGAAUUAGGGUGGAAACAGGAAUUGGGAUGGAAAUCAGAAUUGGGAUAGAAAUCAGAAAUUGGGAUGGGAUCAGGAAUUGGGAUGGAAUCAGGAAUCCCGAUGGAAUCAGGAAUCCAAUCCCCUCCCGGCAGUGCAGCGGGGACUGCCCGGGGCACACCGGGAGCGGCUUCUCCGCCUCGCCGGGAGCCCCGGGAGCGGGUCCCGAACGUUCUCCGUGCCCGGUUCCGUCCGCGCCGGCACCGGGAAAAGCGGGAAAAGCGGGAAAAACAGGAAAAUCGGGAGCAAAAAUGGAGCGGCCGUCCCUGGGUGGGCUCGAACCACCAACCUUUCGGUUAACAGCCGAACGCGCUGACCGAUUGCGCCACAGAGACCGCGCUGGCCGCGCGCCGCGCCGCCGCCACCCGGCGGGGGAGCACCGCGACCGGGAACGGUGGGAAUACCGGGAAUGGGACCGGGAAUAG